AGUGAUUUUUUUUUAAAUGGCCGCAGUACCUUGACUGUGCUAAGGUAGCAUAAUCAAUUGGCUUCUAAUUAAAGUCUAGAAUGAAAGGGAAUAUGAAGUAAUUCUGUCUUAGAGGAUUUUUUUUGAAUUUAUUUAAUUGAUGAAAAUAUCAAUUUAUAGAAAAAAGACGAGAAGACCCUUAGAGUUUUUAAUUUUUUUUAUUUUUUGUUGGGGCGACAAGUAAACAAAUAACUUUACGAUGCGACUUAAAUCGAUUUUUUAAUAAGAAUAAUAAAACUACCUUAGGGAUAACAGCAUUAUAUUUUUUUUAUGAUUGUGACCUCGAUGUUGGACUAGGAACUUUACGGCUAGCCGUCAAAAAAGAUUUGUUCUGUUCGAACAAUUUUAUCCUACAUGAUCUGAG
RNAcentral lists this ribosomal RNA (403 nucleotides) under Biomphalaria straminea. Its description in RNAcentral is "partial 16S ribosomal RNA". It matches the Rfam family "Bacterial large subunit ribosomal RNA", at positions 1911 to 2609 of the family's 2925-position model. The record is from RNAcentral. Lineage: Eukaryota; Metazoa; Mollusca; Gastropoda; Planorbidae.